Long non-coding RNA from Oncorhynchus tshawytscha (Chinook salmon), 1449 nucleotides. NCBI's taxonomy places the organism in Eukaryota, Metazoa, Chordata, Actinopteri, Salmoniformes, Salmonidae. The record is from Ensembl.
CCAGGAACCACAAUGUUCCAAGACAGAUGACUCAAUCCUUUUAAACCAGUUUGAGCUAAUGAGAACGUGAGCUACAAAGUUGUUUUUUUUAUUGUGUGGCUAUGUGUACCGUGGGUCUCUAAGCUAUCAAACAACAACACUAUUCAACAUCUGACUCAGAGGUUGCAGGAUGAGUUUUUUUUUUUUUACAAAGCAACGGUUUCACCCUGGGAUGGUAAGAGACAGCAAAGUGGAGCAACUCCUUUUGAACCGCUUCUGCUGAGGCAGUCUCUCUUCUUCUUUUUUUUUUUUUUUUUUUUACAAAGCAACGGUUUCACCCUGGGAUGGUAAGAGACAGCAAAGUGGAGCAACUCCUUUUGAACCGCUUCUGCUGAGGCAGUCUCUCUUCUUCUCUUGUUUUUUUUUUUUUUUUUACAAAGCAACGGUUUCACCCUGGGAUGGUAAGAGACAGCAAAGUGGAGCAACUCCUUUUGAACCGCUUCUGCUGAGGCAGUCUCUCUUCUUCUCUUGUUUUUUUAUUUUUUUUUACAAAGCAACGGUUUCACCCUGGGAUGGUAAGAGACAGCAAAGUGGAGCAACUCCUUUUGAACCGCUUCUGCUGAGGCAGUCUCUCUUCUUCUCUUGUUUUUUAAUUUUUUUUUACAAAGCAACGGUUUCACCCUGGGAUGGUAAGAGACAGCAAAGUGGAGCAACUCCUUUUGAACCGCUUCUGCUGAGGCAGUCUCUCUUCUUCUCUUGUUUUUUUAUUUUUUUUACAAAGCAACAGUUUCACCCUGGGAUGGUAAGAGACAGCAAAGUGGAGCAACUCCUUUUGAACCGCUUCUGCUGAGGCAGUCUCUCUUCUUCUCUUGUUUUUUCUCCCCCGACACAAAUAAUUCAUUUGUUGUGAAAGCAGAUGACUGUACAGUGACUCUUGCUUUUAUGAGGUGAGGUGUCCUGCCCACUAUCUCUGCGGGGCGCAAGGAAUGAAGCUCCUAAUAAAACAAUCAUGAACGUACCACAGAAUAUAUCCUGCUGUUAUGCUAGUAUGCUUUCCUCUGGUUCGCCCUCAAAUGCAGGUGAUGCAAAGUCAGAAAGUUGCCUUGGAAAGUGAGACGUGAACUACAGUUGUGUGUAAGGAAUAGAUCUCAGGUUCUCACGGGUCUUGUUUCUAUGUUUGUUAAGAUAGCCGACAUCAAGUGGAUAGGCAUCAAAGUUAUAGCUAGCUUCUGUGAAGACCCACGGCCAUUCUUUUGAAUGGAAGUGCCAGUGCUGGAAGUUGCCCUAAAGACAUAAGAGCUGAGCUCCUCUUGAAAAUGGCACUCAUUUGGGCCCCAUGGGGGAUAGCUACAGCUUAAUAUAGUUUAAAUUCUGCCUGGCAAAUUUUUCACUACUAAUUAUUUAUUCAUCUUCCAUGUGGACAGACUAUCAUUUGGAGCUUUUAAACUGUGUGACACUGCUUGAGUCUUU